AAAUAUGCUUACCCCAUUUUGGUUGCCGAACCACAACUUUUUGUAAUCGGACAUCAUUCAAAUCUAUUGCACCAUUUAUGCUGCACUAUGAUCCAAUCAAUUUUACUAGAAACAAAACAUCUGUACUAUCAGAAUAUAUUUCAACAUGUCUGUAUUCACAUUUGAAAAUAUAGCAAAUACGUUAAAUAUCAAAUGUUAUAAUGGGCUGCACAAAUUGAAUAUAGACUUCUAUUUACUACAUAUACUAAUUCAUAAAACAAAAUGGCAGUUUUGCGGAGAGUUAUAUAUUGACUUAAGCUCCCAUUUUUGUAUGGAUGAAUAUCUCUACCUUUCGUUUUUGUAAGCUGUUUAAGACCAAACAGGCCGCCCUGCCGGACUGUCUGCUUCACAUUACUCUCAGUCUUGCUAUACUUGUAAAGCUUUUGCAUUUAAUGAAUUUACUUUACACAUCACAAUGUGUCAGUUUUUGUUGUUUUAUUUUUGUAGUACCAAUUGUAGUUUGUGCUCAAACAUCGCAAUCAGUUCGAUAUGUUAGUAUGCUCAGUGCACUGGACAUGCUGCAGUUAAAGAGAUGACGAGUUGCUUGAUUGAUUGUUGUGCAUUGGAGUGGUUUGGGGCAUAAGUUGUGAAUGAGAUAAUCUACAAUCUGUAACAUCCGGAAAAUAAGGCACAAGACAAUUUGCAUCUAGUUCGACUAGAAAUUUACAAUUUUGCAACAAAUUUUUCCAUACAGAAACAACAAGUAACUUUCAAAAAAAAAAAAAA
Bactrocera latifrons is the source of this 765-nucleotide long non-coding RNA. RefSeq lists it as uncharacterized. The transcript has 2 exons. NCBI's taxonomy places the organism in Eukaryota, Metazoa, Arthropoda, Insecta, Diptera, Tephritidae. The record is from RefSeq and is a predicted model, not a curated record.